UACGGAGGGUGCGAGCGUUAUCCGGAAUUACUGGGUUUAAAGGGUGCGUAGGCGGCUGUGUAAGUCAGGAGUGAAAGUUUGCGGCUCAACCGUAAAAUUGCUUUUGAUACUGCAUGGCUAGAAUUAGGAUGAGGUCAGCGGAAUGUGGCAUGUAGCGGUGAAAUGCAUAGAUAUGCCAUAGAACACCAAUUGCGAAGGCAGCUGGCUAGACCUGGAUUGACGCUGAGGCACGAAAGCGUGGGGAGCGAACAGG
RNAcentral lists this ribosomal RNA (253 nucleotides) under uncultured bacterium. Its description in RNAcentral is "partial 16S ribosomal RNA". It matches the Rfam family "Bacterial small subunit ribosomal RNA", at positions 524 to 776 of the family's 1533-position model. The record is from RNAcentral.